CUUGAUUUAACCAUAAGAGGUCCAGCCUGCCCAGUGACAUUGUUCAACGGCCGCGGUAUCCUAACCGUGCGAAGGUAGCGUAAUCACUUGUCCUUUAAAUGCGGACCAGUAUGAAUGGCCACACGAAAGCUAUACUGUCUCCUUUUUCUAAUCAGUUAAACUAAUCUUCCCGUGAAGAAGCGGGAAUAACCCUAUAAGACGAGAAGACCCUAUGGAGCUUUAAACAAUUGAAACACUUGUACCCAUCUUCCUACUUCCGAUAAUUCACACUUAAUAUCACAUUUUGUUUCUAGUUUUAGGUUGGGGUGACCGCGGAGAAAAAACAAACCUCCACGCUGAAAGAGUUAAUCUCUAAACAAAAAGCUACAGCUUUAAGUAUUAACACAUUAACCUGAAUUGACCCA
RNAcentral lists this ribosomal RNA (404 nucleotides) under Anomaloglossus surinamensis. RNAcentral's name for it is "partial large subunit ribosomal RNA". It matches the Rfam family "Bacterial large subunit ribosomal RNA", at positions 1833 to 2422 of the family's 2925-position model. RNAcentral also lists the same sequence under 1 other name. The record is from RNAcentral. Lineage: Eukaryota; Metazoa; Chordata; Amphibia; Anura; Aromobatidae.